CCUACGUGUGGCAGCAGUGGGGAAUAUUGGACAAUGGGCGAAAGCCUGAUCCAGCCAUGCCGCGUGUGUGAAGAAGGCCUUCGGGUUGUAAAGCACUUUCAGUGGGGAAGAAAGCCUUGGGGCUAAUACCCUCGAGGAAGGACAUCACCCACAGAAGAAGCACCGGCUAACUCCGUGCCAGCAGCCGCGGUAAUACGGAGGGUGCGAGCGUUAAUCGGAAUUACUGGGCGUAAAGCGCGCGUAGGCGGUCUGAUAAGCCGGUUGUGAAAGCCCCGGACUCAACCUGGGAACGGCAUCCGGAACUGUCAGGCUAGAGUGCAGGAGAGGAAGGUAGAAUUCCCGGUGUAGCGGUGAAAUGCGUAGAGAUCGGGAGGAAUACCAGUAGCGAAGGCGGCCUUCUGGACUGACACUGACGCUGAGGUGCGAAAGCGUGGGUAGCAAACAGGAUUAGAUACCCGAGUAGUC
This 465-nucleotide ribosomal RNA is filed under the name Vreelandella stevensii. RNAcentral describes it as "partial 16S ribosomal RNA". It matches the Rfam family "Bacterial small subunit ribosomal RNA", at positions 338 to 795 of the family's 1533-position model. Lineage: Bacteria; Pseudomonadati; Pseudomonadota; Gammaproteobacteria; Oceanospirillales; Halomonadaceae. The record is from RNAcentral.